Molecule: ribosomal RNA, 1324 nt
Filed under: uncultured bacterium
Lineage: Bacteria
Description: bacterial SSU rRNA
Rfam family: Bacterial small subunit ribosomal RNA
Source: RNAcentral
GAGGGGCAUCGGGGCUAGGAGCAAUCCUUGCCGCCGGCGACCGGCGCACGGGUGAGUAACGCGUAUGCGACCUGCCCGUUGCAGGGGGAUAAUCGGGAGAAAUCCCGUCUAAUACCGCGUAAUGCCGCGGGGCUGCAUGGCCCUGCGGCCAAAGGGAGCGAUUCCGGCAACGGAUGGGCAUGCGUGACAUUAGCUAGUUGGCGGGGCAACGGCCCACCAAGGCGACGAUGUCUAGGGGUUCUGAGAGGAAGGUCCCCCACACUGGUACUGAGACACGGACCAGACUCCUACGGGAGGCAGCAGUGAGGAAUAUUGGUCAAUGGGCGCGAGCCUGAACCAGCCAAGUCGCGUGAGGGAUGACGGCCCUACGGGUUGUAAACCUCUUUUGUCGGGGAGCAAAUUCCGUUACGUGUAACGGAGUCGAGAGUACCCGAAGAAAAAGCAUCGGCUAACUCCGUGCCAGCAGCCGCGGUAAUACGGAGGAUGCGAGCGUUAUCCGGAUUUAUUGGGUUUAAAGGGUGCGUAGGCGGACUGUCAAGUCAGCGGUAAAAUACGGGGGCUCAACCUCCGCCCGCCGUUGAAACUGACGGUCUUGAGUGGGCGAGAAGUAUGCGGAAUGCGUGGUGUAGCGGUGAAAUGCAUAGAUAUCACGCAGAACUCCGAUUGCGAAGGCAGCAUACCGGCGCCCAACUGACGCUGAAGCACGAAAGCGUGGGUAUCGAACAGGAUUAGAUACCCUGGUAGUCCACGCAGUAAACGAUGAAUACUAGCUGUCCGGGGCGAAUGAGCCCUGGGUGGCACAGCGAAAGCGUUAAGUAUUCCACCUGGGGAGUACGCCGGCAACGGUGAAACUCAAAGGAAUUGACGGGGGCCCGCACAAGCGGAGGAACAUGUGGUUUAAUUCGAUGAUACGCGAGGAACCUUACCCGGGCUCAAACGACACAGGAACGUACCUGAAAGGGUUCGGCUCUACGGAGCCUGUGUCGAGGUGCUGCAUGGUUGUCGUCAGCUCGUGCCGUGAGGUGUCGGCUUGAGUGCCAUAACGAGCGCAACCCCCAUCGACAGUUGCUAACAGGUCAGGCUGAGGACUCUGUCGAGACUGCCGGCGCAAGCUGCGAGGAAGGCGGGGAUGACGUCAAAUCAGCACGGCCCUUACGUCCGGGGCGACACACGUGUUACAAUGACGCAGACAGAGGGAGGCGAGCCGGAGGCGGAGCAAACCACAGAAAUGGCGUCUCAGUUCGGGACUGCAGCUGCAACCCGGCUGCAGAAGCCGGAAUCGUAGUAAUCGCAGAUCAGCAUGCUGCGGUGAAUACGUUCCCGG